This 863-nucleotide ribosomal RNA is filed under the name Sarocladium kiliense. RNAcentral describes it as "partial large subunit ribosomal RNA". It matches the Rfam family "Eukaryotic large subunit ribosomal RNA", at positions 70 to 965 of the family's 3401-position model. Lineage: Eukaryota; Fungi; Ascomycota; Sordariomycetes; Hypocreales; Sarocladiaceae. The record is from RNAcentral.
UAGCAUAUCAAUAACGGCGAGUGAAGCGGCAACAGCUCAAAUUUGAAAUCUGGCCGCAAGGUCCGAGUUGUAAUUUGUAGAGGAUGCUUUUGGCGAGGUGCCUUCCGAGUUCCCUGGAACGGGACGCCAUAGAGGGUGAGAGCCCCGUACGGUAGGACCACCAAGCCUCUGUAAAGCUCCUUCGACGAGUCGAGUAGUUUGGGAAUGCUGCUCUAAAUGGGAGGUGUACGUCUUCUAAAGCUAAAUACCGGCCAGAGACCGAUAGCGCACAAGUAGAGUGAUCGAAAGAUGAAAAGCACUUUGAAAAGAGGGUUAAAAAGUACGUGAAAUUGUUGAAAGGGAAGCAUUCAUGACCAGACUUGGGCUUGGUUGAACAUCCGGCGUUCUCGCCGGUGCACUCUGCCAGUCCAGGCCAGCAUCAGUUUGCCCCGGGGGAUAAAGGCGGCGGGAAUGUGGCUCCCUUCGGGGAGUGUUAUAGCCCGUCGUGUAAUGCCCUGGGGCGGACUGAGGAACGCGCUUCGGCACGGAUGCUGGCGUAAUGGUCAUCAAUGACCCGUCUUGAAACACGGACCAAGGAGUCGUCUUCGUAUGCGAGUGUUCGGGUGUCAAACCCCUACGCGUAAUGAAAGUGAACGUAGGUGAGAGCUUCGGCGCAUCACCGACCGAUCCUGAUGUUCUCGGAUGGAUUUGAGUAAGAGCAUACGGGGCCGGACCCGAAAGAAGGUGAACUAUGCCUGUAUAGGGUGAAGCCAGAGGAAACUCUGGUGGAGGCUCGCAGCGGUUCUGACGUGCAAAUCGAUCGUCAAAUAUGGGCAUGGGGGCGAAAGACUAAUCGAACCUUCUAGUAGCUGGUUUCCGCCACU